Molecule: long non-coding RNA, 639 nt
Organism: Macadamia integrifolia
Lineage: Eukaryota; Viridiplantae; Streptophyta; Magnoliopsida; Proteales; Proteaceae
Exons: 2
Source: RefSeq, a predicted model, not a curated record
CUAUCUGAAUACUCCCUUUUAUAUGCAGGCCUCUUAUGGCUCUGUCUUCGUGGGUUGAACAAGGAGCUCAUCAUCGAUGGAGGCCCAACGGUGCCCUUAUUUAUAUCCGAGAUGAUUUUGAAGCAGUUGCCAUGAGUACAAUUUACCAAGAAUUCAUAGUAAGCACAGCAGUAGCAGGAGCUACGGUUGGUGCUGCAAUUGGUGGAUAGGUUAAAGAUUGGAAAGGUCGAAGAAUACCAAUCUUGGUAGCUGAUGUUUUGUUUUUUAUUGGUGCAUUAGUCAUGGCUGCCUUAAUACAUCCUCUGAUGAUAAUUUGUGGAAGGGUACUUGUUGGUAUGGGUGUUGGAAUGGCCUCCAUGACUGGACCUCUUUAUAUUUCAGAAGCUUCUCCUGCUAGAAUUAGAGGUGCCCUUGUUAGCACAAAUGCAUUGUUAAUUACAGGGGGGCAUUUUUUAGCAUACCUUAUUAAUUGGGCUUUCACAAAGGCACUUGGAACUUGGCGUUGGAUGCCUGGAGUUGGAGGGCUUUCUGCUUUGUUUCAGUUUAUAUUGAUGUGGGACUAUUUCAAUAUAUAGAAAUAUGAAUUAGCUUUUAAUUGUAUGUUAGACUUUUCAUUAAAUAAAAAUACUUUUUAUAAUA